Petromyzon marinus (sea lamprey) is the source of this 642-nucleotide non-coding RNA. The record is from RefSeq and is a predicted model, not a curated record. Lineage: Eukaryota; Metazoa; Chordata; Hyperoartia; Petromyzontiformes; Petromyzontidae.
CGACUGGUUGGCGACUUUGCUUCGGGAGAGUUCGUGGCGAUCUCUUCAGACGGGUUACAGGGUCAUCGAUACACCGUGCAUCAACAAGUGGAUGCUGAGAAAUCGUUGCUGGAGUGGCUGGAGGGUCAAAGUUUUGAGGACUUCUGUUAACUCUUGAAGUCCUGGAAUGUGCAUGUUUGUGUCUCUGUUAGUUCAAUCGAUAAAGUACACAUUAUUACUUCCGUGAUUUCCAGUACUCCAAGCUAGAGCGAUGUUGUGAAUGCUCUAUGAUGUGUUCGGAUAAAAAGGAAUUCAUUUUAAGCUCCAGAAGUGUUCACUUAUUUCAGGAUGACAACAAUUUUAUACUUCCAUAGAUGCAUUGUUUCGUCUGGUGGUUGUAUCAUCGGGACUGUUAAAUGUGUGGUGUUUAUGGUAGAAGGUGCCACGUGUUGUCAUCUUCUCACAGCUACUUGAGUGUUGAAGUUUAUUCUAGACUUCGUCACGUUAAGGUGGUGCUUUGUAGUCAUAUCGGAUUACUUGUUGAUGUGGUGUGAUGCACAGUGGUUGUGAGGUGGUCCAAUUCCUGAUUUUACUGUCGUGACUAAGUGGCCUUGUUGAGCUAAAGUUGGAGAAAGACUGUGAUCAUAACGUUGCCCUAUAUUU